RNAcentral lists this ribosomal RNA (408 nucleotides) under uncultured bacterium. RNAcentral's name for it is "partial 16S ribosomal RNA". It matches the Rfam family "Bacterial small subunit ribosomal RNA", at positions 28 to 526 of the family's 1533-position model. The record is from RNAcentral.
GACGAACGCUGGCGGCGUGCUUAACACAUGCAAGUCGAACGGAGUGGCGAACGGGUGAGUAACACGUGGGUGACCUGCCCUGCACUUCGGGAUAAGCUUGGGAAACGGGGUCUAAUACCGGAUAGUGCAAGAUGAGCUCGCGGCCUAGCAGAUUGUUGGUGGGGUAUUGGCCUACCAAGGCGUCGACGGGUAGCCGGCCUGGGAGGGUGUACGGCCACAUUGGGACUGAGAUACGGCCCAGACUCCUACGGGAGGCAGCUGUGGCGAAUAUUGCGCAAUGGGCGGAAGCCUACUGCAGCGACUCCGCGUGGGGGAUGAAGGCCUUCGGGUUGUAAACUCCUUUCGUCAUGGACGCGGUACCUGUAUAAGAAGCACCGGCUAACUACGUGCCAGCAGCCGCGGUAAUUC